Molecule: unclassified non-coding RNA, 264 nt
Filed under: Hevea brasiliensis (rubber tree)
Lineage: Eukaryota; Viridiplantae; Streptophyta; Magnoliopsida; Malpighiales; Euphorbiaceae
Source: RNAcentral
CAAAGAUUGAUUCUUUAAGAAAUUAUCGUUUGGGUUUUUUGAGAGAAGAUGGUGGGGUGUUUGACUUUGGAGCUGAAGAGGGUUUGUUUUGCUUUUUGAGGUAACAGAUUGGUUUUUUUGUCUGAUGGUUGGUAUGAAAGUGGCAUUUGGUAGGUCUACAAGUUUGAAUAGUUUUGCUGAUGAACUGUUGUUUGUUAGAGGUUAAAAAGUUUUGAUCUUUGGUUUAGUUUACAGAGAUAUUGGAUUUUACCUGCUUUAGUUUUG